GACGAACGCUGGCGGCGCGCCUAACACAUGCAAGUCGAACGAGCGAGAGAGAGCUUGCUUUCUCGAGCGAGUGGCGAACGGGUGAGUAACGCGUGAGGAACCUGCCUCAAAGAGGGGGACAACAGUUGGAAACGACUGCUAAUACCGCAUAAGCCCACGGCUCGGCAUCGAGCAGGGGGAAAAGGAGCAAUCCGCUUUGAGAUGGCCUCGCGUCCGAUUAGCUAGUUGGUGAGGUAACGGCCCACCAAGGCGACGUUCGGUAGCCGGACUGAGAGGUUGAACGGCCACAUUGGGACUGAGACACGGCCCAGACUCCUACGGGAGGCAGCAGUGGGGAAUAUUGCACAAUGGGGGAAACCCUGAUGCAGCGACGCCGCGUGGAGGAAGAAGGUCUUCGGAUUGUAAACUCCUGUUGUUGGGGAAGAUAAUGACGGUACCCAACAAGGAAGUGACGGCUAACUACGUG
This 466-nucleotide ribosomal RNA is filed under the name uncultured bacterium. RNAcentral describes it as "partial 16S ribosomal RNA". It matches the Rfam family "Bacterial small subunit ribosomal RNA", at positions 28 to 507 of the family's 1533-position model. The record is from RNAcentral.